UACGUAGGGGGCAAGCGUUGUCCGGAAUCAUUGGGCGUAAAGAGCGUGUAGGCGGCCCGAUAAGUCCGCUGUGAAAGUCCAGGGCUCAACCCUGGGAUGCCGGUGGAUACUGUCGGGCUCGAGUCCGGAAGAGGAGUGUGGAAUUCCGUGGUGUAGCGGUGAAAUGCGCAGAUAUCAGGAGGAACACCGGUGGCGAAGGCGGGACUCUGGGCCGAUACUGACGCUGAGGAGCGAAAGCGUGGGGAGCAAACAGG
RNAcentral lists this ribosomal RNA (254 nucleotides) under uncultured bacterium. RNAcentral's name for it is "partial 16S ribosomal RNA". It matches the Rfam family "Bacterial small subunit ribosomal RNA", at positions 524 to 776 of the family's 1533-position model. The record is from RNAcentral.